CCUAAUUUCCUAAUACACACUAGCGAACCCACAGUCUCCUUCUUCUCUAAAGUUUGAAACGGUACCCCUCUCUCUCGCCAUUCUCUGUCGACUCCGGUGAGCGGCCGCCCUGAAUCGCAGCCUCCCUCUGGCGCGACGAGGUCGGCCCCUGUUCUUCCUCCUCCUCUCCUUCCCUUUUGUGCCCUAUUUUUUCCCCAAGAACAAAAUCCUCAAUUUCUAGGGUUUUCAGCCUCCCUUUCCUCUCUGAAUUUCGCCCCUCCGGCGAAUCCCGCCACUACCACCGCCGCCUCGCACAGCUGCUCCCUGCCUCAGGGAGAGCUUGCACUCGCAUUUGGUGAAUUGUUGAGGAAACUCUGGUCUUCUGGUCGAACUCCAGUUGCACCUCGUGUAUUUAAGGGGAAACUUGCCCGUUUUGGUCCCCAGUUUAGUGGUUAUAAUCAGCAUGAUUCACAGCCCAUGCAUCCAAGAAAGGAUAGUUGGCAUCAGGCUGAAGUUUGGAAGCAAGGAUCAAUGUUAGUGACGAGAAGGGGAUGUUACUUCCUAGAAGGGACGAAGAUCAAGAUGGAGAUGAGCUUGAAGGAAGCGUUGGAAACUUGGAGAGGUCGAUGAGGACUUUGUCGGAGUGGAUAAGCUGGGAAGUGAAUCGAAAUAUGUAAUGAUCAUAUAUACUUAAUACUUGGUUCAUUCGGAUGACAAUGUAUGAAUAUUUUGCAUGCUAUAUAGUAUUGUUGUUGUUGAUUUUA
Molecule: long non-coding RNA, 743 nt
Organism: Salvia miltiorrhiza (redroot sage)
Lineage: Eukaryota; Viridiplantae; Streptophyta; Magnoliopsida; Lamiales; Lamiaceae
Exons: 4
Source: RefSeq, a predicted model, not a curated record